Molecule: ribosomal RNA, 769 nt
Filed under: uncultured bacterium
Lineage: Bacteria
Description: bacterial SSU rRNA
Rfam family: Bacterial small subunit ribosomal RNA
Source: RNAcentral
AGAGUUUGAUCAUGGCUCAGAAUGAACGUUGGCGGCGUGGAUUAGGCAUGCAAGUCGAGCGGCAGCAGGCCCGCAAGGACGCUGGCGAGCGGCGUAAGGGAGAGUAACACGCGGGUACCUACCCUCGGGACCGGGAUAGCUGCGGGAAACUGCAAUUAAUACCGGAUAAUGUCCCAGGACCAAAGGUGUGAUUCCGCCUGAGGAGGGGCCCACGUCCUAUCAGCUAGUUGGUGAGGUAAUGGCUCACAAAGGCUACGACGGGUACGGGGUGUGAGAGCAUGCCCCCGCUCACUGGGACUGAGACACUGCCCAGACACCUACGGGUGGCUGCAGUCGAGAAUCUUCCGCAAUGGGCGAAAGCCUGACGGAGCGACGCCGCGUGCGGGAUGAAGGCCUUCGGGUUGUAAACCGCUGUCAGAGGGGAACGAGUCCAUGGUGGUUCUCUGCCAUGGUUGAGUGAUCCUCAGAGGAAGCGCAGGCUAAGUCCGUGCCAGCAGCCGCGGUAACACGGACUGCGCGAACGUUAUUCGGAAUCAUUGGGCUUAAAGCGUCCGUAGGCGGCCGUGCAGGUGAGGUGUGAAAUCCCUCGGCUUAACCGAGGAAUUGCGCUUCAAACCGCACGGCUCGAGAAAGAUAGAGGUGAGCGGAACUCACGGUGGAGCGGUGAAAUGCGUUGAUAUCGUGAGGAACACCGGUGGCGAAAGCGGCUCACUGGGUCUUUUCUGACGCUGAGGGACGAAAGCUAGGGGAGCGAACGGGAUUAGAUACC